This 499-nucleotide ribosomal RNA is filed under the name uncultured Glomeromycotina. RNAcentral's name for it is "partial small subunit ribosomal RNA". It matches the Rfam family "Eukaryotic small subunit ribosomal RNA", at positions 591 to 1092 of the family's 1831-position model. The record is from RNAcentral. Lineage: Eukaryota; Fungi; Glomeromycota.
CCAAUAGCGUAUAUUAAAGUUGUUGCAGUUAAAAAGCUCGUAGUUGAAUUUCGGGAUCGGUACGCUGGUCGUGCCUCCGGUAUGAACUGGUGUCACUGGUUCCUCCCUUCUGAAGAACCAUCAUGCCAUUCACUGGGUGUGGUGGGGAAUCAGGACUGUUACUUUGAAAAAAUUAGAGUGUUUAAAGCAGGCUCACGCUUGAAUACAUUAGCAUGGAAUAAUGAAAUAGGACGUUGAUCCUAUUUUGUUGGUUUCUAGGAUUGACGUAAUGAUUAAUAGGGAUAGUUGGGGGCAUUAGUAUUCAAUUGUCAGAGGUGAAAUUCUUGGAUUUAUUGAAGACUAACUACUGCGAAAGCAUUUGCCAAGGAUUUUUUCAUUAAUCAAGAACGAAAGUUAGGGGAUCGAAGACGAUCAGAUACCGUCGUAGUCUUAACCAUAAACUAUGCCGACUAGGGAUCGGAUGAUGUUAAUUUUUUAAUGACUCAUUCGGCGCCUUACG